GUGGGGAAUCUUCCGCAAUGGACGAAAGUCUGACGGAGCAACGCCGCGUGAGUGAUGAAGGCCUUCGGGUUGUAAAGCUCUGUUAAUCGGGACGAAAGAGCGCUGUGCGAAUAGUGCAGCGAAGUGACGGUACCGGAAUAGAAAGCCACGGCUAACUACGUGCCAGCAGCCGCGGUAAUACGUAGGUGGCAAGCGUUGUCCGGAAUUAUUGGGCGUAAAGCGCGCGCAGGCGGAUCUGCCAGUCUGUCUUAAAAGUUCGGGGCUUAACCCCGUGAUGGGAUGGAAACUACAGAUCUAGAGUAUCGGAGAGGAAAGUGGAAUUCCUAGUGUAGCGGUGAAAUGCGUAGAUAUUAGGAAGAACACCAGUGGCGAAGGCGACUUUCUGGACGAAAACUGACGCUGAGGCGCGAAAGCCAGGGGAGCGAACGGGAUUAGAAACCCCUGUAGUCC
Molecule: ribosomal RNA, 450 nt
Filed under: uncultured bacterium
Lineage: Bacteria
Description: partial 16S ribosomal RNA
Rfam family: Bacterial small subunit ribosomal RNA
Source: RNAcentral